This is a non-coding RNA of Oryza glaberrima (African rice), 207 nucleotides long. The record is from Rfam. NCBI's taxonomy places the organism in Eukaryota, Viridiplantae, Streptophyta, Magnoliopsida, Poales, Poaceae.
UUUAAGCGCAACCAUAAGUUUCCACGUCCAACUUUGAUCGUCCGUCUUAUUUGAAUUUCUUUUUAUAAGUAAUAUUUUUUGUUGUUAUGAGAUAAUAAAACAUGAAAAAUAAUUUACUCGUGACUUAUGUUUUUAAAGUUUUUCAAAUAAAUUUCAAUUAAGGUAGAUGUUUAAAGUUGGGCAAAGAAAACUAUGGCUGCACUUAAA